Long non-coding RNA from Zalophus californianus (California sea lion), 1036 nucleotides. RefSeq lists it as uncharacterized. Lineage: Eukaryota; Metazoa; Chordata; Mammalia; Carnivora; Otariidae. The transcript is spliced from 3 exons. The record is from RefSeq and is a predicted model, not a curated record.
GGGGUGGAGCCACGGCACGGGCCGGUGAGGGGAGCACAUGUGUAUGGAACAAUUAAUAUGUGCCAGGCACAUUAGCAGCUGCUAGAUGUACAACAUGAACAGGACAGAGCCCUUCCCCGGAAGGAAAGUGGAACAGAUGGGAGAUUAAACAUGCAAAUUGCAAUAGAGUGAUAAGCCUCGCCCAGGAGAAGAUGGGAAUGCUGCAGGUAGCGCCUAACGCAGAGUGGCGGCACCAGCUUGCAUUCCCACCCACAGUGUAGGAGGGUUCCCCUUUCUCCAGGAGAUGACAUUUGAGCAGCGACCUGGACAGUGAGAAAGAGCCAAGGACAGAGCAAGGCGUGGAAAGCUGCCGAGAGUGAACUCAGUGUGUUCAAAGACCUGCGAGGAGGCAGGUGAACAGCAACAAAAGCUGGAGGGAUGCACCCGGAGGAGGCGGAGAAGGCGGCUCCAGGCUUGGCCAGCCUGUCGGUCCAACUCCUAUCCUGAGACUUGCAGCCGCCAGCUGCUUUUCCCUUCUCUAGGGCGAAAUGUCACGGAGGCGGGGAGGACUUUGGGGGAGACUUUUGGAAAACAGUUGCACCACUUUAAGAGGUGGGUAUAUUUCACCCAUUGCCUACAGAAGGCACUGAGCCGGGGGAGAAUGAAGGGGGGCUUCGCUCCCUCCUUCCAGAUCAUGCCUCUCUUUAUGUAUUCCUGUGGCUUACCUUACCCCCAGCCCAGCUCUGCCUUCGCUGGGUGUCCUGUGGCCCCACCACCUCUCCUAGCUCAGCACUGGGCUUGCAGUGGGGCUCUCGUAUCAGCCCUAAUUCUCGGGUCCUUACUCUGAUCCAAAUUAAGGCCAGCCUCCUUUUGUGUGAACGGCUGUCAUAGUGUAAGCAGAGUCCCUUUCUCCUCCCAUCCAGUGCCCUGGCCGGUGGUCCCUGGGCUCCUGCUUCCCAAGGCUUCCCAAGGGGCUGCUGGAGGGGCGGGGGGCUUCCUCAGCAGCACAGCUAGUAACACGAAUCAGUUAGGAUUGUAUUUCGUCUGGAGUUUACGA